This 198-nucleotide long non-coding RNA is filed under the name Monodelphis domestica (gray short-tailed opossum). RNAcentral describes it as "lncRNA (ENSMODG00000023344.2)". The record is from RNAcentral. Lineage: Eukaryota; Metazoa; Chordata; Mammalia; Didelphimorphia; Didelphidae.
CAAUACUUUUUUAAAGAAACAAUCGAUGUUUUCUCAACACUGUAAUGCACUCAGAGUCAUGGUGACAGAAGAUGGAACUAGUGAUCUUUUCCCACCUCCCAGAAUUGAAUCUUAGCAGUUGAGAAAAAGCAAACAAGAACAAUUCUGACCUUCAGAAGAGAUUGGACCUGAAUCUUUGGCCUGAACCAAGAAGAGCAU